This 62-nucleotide transfer RNA is filed under the name Apogonia cf. basalis. RNAcentral describes it as "tRNA-Gly". The record is from RNAcentral. Lineage: Eukaryota; Metazoa; Arthropoda; Insecta; Coleoptera; Scarabaeidae.
AUUUAUAUAAUAUAACAAUUAUAUUUGACUUCCAAUCAAAAAAUCUAACUUUAGUGUAAAUA